RNAcentral lists this ribosomal RNA (274 nucleotides) under uncultured bacterium. Its description in RNAcentral is "partial 16S ribosomal RNA". It matches the Rfam family "Bacterial small subunit ribosomal RNA", at positions 523 to 796 of the family's 1533-position model. The record is from RNAcentral.
AUACGGAGGGGGCUAGCGUUGUUCGGAAUUACUGGGCGUAAAGGGUGCGUAGGCGGCUUGAUAAGUCGGAUGUGAAAGCCCCGGGCUUAACCUAGGAAUUGCAUUCGAUACUGUCAGGCUAGAGUAUGUCAGAGGUUGGCGGAAUUCCUGGUGUAGCGGUGAAAUGCGUAGAUAUCAGGAGGAACACCAGUGGCGAAGGCGGCUAACUGGGACAAUACUGACGCUGAGGCACGAAAGCGUGGGGAGCAAACAGGAUUAGAUACCCUAGUAGUCC